CUGGGCGUAAGCGUGCGCAGGCGGUUGUGCAAGACCGAUGUGAAUCCCCGGGCUCAACCUGGGAACUGCAUUGGUGACUGCACGGCUAGAGUGUGGCAGAGGGGGGUGGAAUUCCACGUGUAGCAGUGAAAUGCGUAGAGAUGUGGAGGAACACCGAUGGCGAAGGCAGCCCCCUGGAAUAACACUGACGCUCAUGCACGAAAGCGUGGGGAGCAAACAGGAUUAGAUACCCUGGUAGUCCACGCCCUAAACGAUGUCAACUAGUUGUUGGGGAUUCAUUUCCUUAGUAACGUAGCUAACGCGUGAAGUUGACCGCCUGGGGAGUACGGUCGCAAGAUUAAAACUCAAAGGAAUUUGACGG
This 361-nucleotide ribosomal RNA is filed under the name uncultured bacterium. RNAcentral's name for it is "bacterial SSU rRNA". It matches the Rfam family "Bacterial small subunit ribosomal RNA", at positions 554 to 916 of the family's 1533-position model. The record is from RNAcentral. RNAcentral also lists the same sequence under 1 other name.